RNAcentral lists this ribosomal RNA (253 nucleotides) under uncultured bacterium. Its description in RNAcentral is "partial 16S ribosomal RNA". It matches the Rfam family "Bacterial small subunit ribosomal RNA", at positions 524 to 776 of the family's 1533-position model. The record is from RNAcentral.
UACGUAGGGGGCAAGCGUUGUUCGGAAUUACUGGGCGUAAAGGGCUCGUAGGCGGCCAACUAAGUCAGACGUGAAAUCCCUCGGCUUAACCGGGGAACUGCAUCUGAUACUGGAUGGCUUGAGUUCGGGAGAGGGAUGCGGAAUUCCAGGUGUAGCGGUGAAAUGCGUAGAUAUCUGGAGGAACACCGGUGGCGAAGGCGGCAUCCUGGACCGACACUGACGCUGAGGAGCGAAAGCGUGGGGAGCAAACAGG